UCUCCGUAGGUGAACCUGCGGAGGGAUCAUUACAGAAUUAUCGAGCUGGGGGGGAUGUCGCUGACCCGAUGGUAUCGGUACGGUCGUGUGUCUUGCGAGACGACCAGCCCCCGGCUACGUGCGCCAAAUAGGGGGUGCGCGUCUGCCAGAGGCGUUGGGGGGCUGAAGGUUUGUGACGACUGAUGAAUGUAGAGUAGUAUAAAUUUUCAACAAUGGAGAUCUUGGUUCUGAUAUCGAUGUAAAAAGCGGCAGACUUGGAGAUCGCAAGGCUGAAGACCA
Molecule: unclassified non-coding RNA, 279 nt
Filed under: plant metagenome
Description: partial contains small subunit ribosomal RNA, internal transcribed spacer 1, and 5.8S ribosomal RNA
Source: RNAcentral